This 50-nucleotide ribosomal RNA is filed under the name Ctenophora environmental sample. RNAcentral's name for it is "partial 5.8S ribosomal RNA". It matches the Rfam family "5.8S ribosomal RNA", at positions 1 to 48 of the family's 154-position model. From Rfam's summary of the family: 5.8S ribosomal RNA (5.8S rRNA) is a component of the large subunit of the eukaryotic ribosome. The record is from RNAcentral. Lineage: Eukaryota; Metazoa; Ctenophora.
ACAACUUUAAACGGUGGAUCUCUUGGCUCGUGCAUCGAUGAAGAACGCAG